GCCCAGAUAGCUCAGUGGCAGAGCACUUCCUUGGUAAGGAAGAGGUCGGCGGUUCAAUCCCGCUUCUGGGCUCCA
Molecule: transfer RNA, 75 nt
Filed under: Hydrogenimonas thermophila
Lineage: Bacteria; Pseudomonadati; Campylobacterota; Epsilonproteobacteria; Campylobacterales; Hydrogenimonadaceae
Also listed under: 7 other names
Description: tRNA-Thr
Rfam family: tRNA
About the family: Transfer RNA (tRNA) molecules are approximately 80 nucleotides in length. Their secondary structure includes four short double-helical elements and three loops (D, anti-codon, and T loops). Further hydrogen bonds mediate the characteristic L-shaped molecular structure. tRNAs have two regions of fundamental functional importance: the anti-codon, which is responsible for specific mRNA codon recognition, and the 3' end, to which the tRNAs corresponding amino acid is attached (by aminoacyl-tRNA synthetases). tRNAs cope with the degeneracy of the genetic code in two manners: having more than one tRNA (with a specific anti-codon) for a particular amino acid; and 'wobble' base-pairing, i.e. permitting non-standard base-pairing at the 3rd anti-codon position.
Source: RNAcentral